RNAcentral lists this ribosomal RNA (717 nucleotides) under Escherichia coli. RNAcentral's name for it is "bacterial SSU rRNA". It matches the Rfam family "Bacterial small subunit ribosomal RNA", at positions 125 to 829 of the family's 1533-position model. Lineage: Bacteria; Pseudomonadati; Pseudomonadota; Gammaproteobacteria; Enterobacterales; Enterobacteriaceae. The record is from RNAcentral.
CCUACCUAUAAGACUGGGAUAACUUCGGGAAACCGGAGCUAAUACCGGAUAAUAUUUUGAACCGCAUGGUUCAAAAGUAAAAGACGGUCUUGCUGUCACUUAUAGAUGGAUCCGCGCUGCAUUAGCUAGUUGGUAAGGUAACGGCUUACCAAGGCAACGAUGCAUAGCCGACCUGAGAGGGUGAUCGGCCACACUGGAACUGAGACACGGUCCAGACUCCUACGGGAGGCAGCAGUAGGGAAUCUUCCGCAAUGGGCGAAAGCCUGACGGAGCAACGCCGCGUGAGUGAUGAAGGUCUUCGGAUCGUAAAGCUCUGUUAUUAGGGAAGAACAUAUGUGUAAGUAACUGUGCACAUCUUGACGGUACCUAAUCAGAAAGCCACGGCUAACUACGUGCCAGCAGCCGCGGUAAUACGUAGGUGGCAAGCGUUAUCCGGAAUUAUUGGGCGUAAAGCGCGCGUAGGCGGUUUUUUAAGUCUGAUGUGAAAGCCCACGGCUCAACCGUGGAGGGUCAUUGGAAACUGGAAAACUUGAGUGCAGAAGAGGAAAGUGGAAUUCCAUGUGUAGCGGUGAAAUGCGCAGAGAUAUGGAGGAACACCAGUGGCGAAGGCGACUUUCUGGUCUGUAACUGACGCUGAUGUGCGAAAGCGUGGGGAUCAAACAGGAUUAGAUACCCUGGUAGUCCACGCCGUAAACGAUGAGUGCUAAGUGUUAGGGG